Molecule: long non-coding RNA, 512 nt
Filed under: Bos taurus (domestic cattle)
Lineage: Eukaryota; Metazoa; Chordata; Mammalia; Artiodactyla; Bovidae
Description: long non-coding RNA NONBTAT019261
Source: RNAcentral
UGUUUCACAAUAUCAUUUAGCUCUUGGAAAUAUAAGGCAUUCUACUAUAAAGUAGUUGUUUUUGUAACAGAUACAAGCUAAAAGGUAUGGGUUUUAGGAUGAUUUAGCUCAUCAAAGAUUUGCUUUUCAAAUAAUGUUUAAUAAGAGAUUGCACAGUUUUAUUUAUGUCAACCCUAAUGCAUUAAAAGAGUUAGUAAUUUACUUUUGUAGGAAAAAGUUAAGGCCAUUUCAAAACUCAUUUUAUAUACAAGUUGCAACAUAAGGAGGAUAAUCUGUUUUUUAAGACCAGAAACUACGAGAGGUGAAAAUUACAUUUUUCUUGAUAAAUUUUUUAAUGAACUAGUCAUUAUAGUGAUGAAAUAAUGUGGCAACAUGUUGACUUGUUAUAGUUAAAUGUGGAACAUUAGACUGUCAGUUAGCUUUGAAAAGCAUACACUUAUUUUAUACAGCAGACUCUGAAAUAAGAAUAGAAAAGCCUUAAUUUGCGUCACAGUAGCAAAAUAACUGUUGCA